GAUGAACGCUGGCGGCGUGCCUAAUACAUGCAAGUCGAGCGCACAGACGAGGAGCUUGCUCCUCUGACGUUAGCGGCGGACGGGUGAGUAACACGUGGAUACCCUACCUAUAAGACUGGGAUAACUUCGGGAAACCGGAGCUAAUACCGGAUAAUAUAUUGAACCGCAUGGUUCAAUAGUGAAAGACGGUUUUGCUGUCACUUAUAGAUGGAUCCGCGCCGCAUUAGCUAGUUGGUAAGGUAACGGCUUACCAAGGCAACGAUGCGUAGCCGAACUGAGAGGGUGAUCGGCCACACUGGAACUGAGACACGGUCCAGACGCCUACGGGAGGCAGCAGUAGGGAAUCUUCCGCAAUGGGCGAAAGCCUGACGGAGCAACAGAGCGUGAGUGAUGAAGGUCUUCGGAUCGUAAAAAUCUGUUAUUAGGGAAGAACAAAUGUGUAAGUAACUAUGCACGUCUUGACGGUACCUAAUCAGAAAGCCACGGCUAACUACGUG
Molecule: ribosomal RNA, 497 nt
Filed under: uncultured bacterium
Lineage: Bacteria
Description: partial 16S ribosomal RNA
Rfam family: Bacterial small subunit ribosomal RNA
Source: RNAcentral